Molecule: ribosomal RNA, 547 nt
Filed under: uncultured bacterium
Lineage: Bacteria
Description: bacterial SSU rRNA
Rfam family: Bacterial small subunit ribosomal RNA
Source: RNAcentral
CGCAGUUAACACAAUAAGUAUCCCACCUGGGGAGUACGAUCGCAAGGUUGAAACUCAAAGGAAUUGACGGGGGCCCGCACAGGCGGUGGAGUAUGUGGUUUAAUUCGAAGCAACGCGAAGAACCUUACCAGGGCUUGACAUCCCGGCGGCCGGUGUAGAGAUACACCUUCUUCUUCGGAAGCGCCGGUGACAGGUGGUGCAUGGUUGUCGUCAGCUCGUGUCGUGAGAUGUUGGGUUAAGUCCCGCAACGAGCGCAACUCUUAUUGUUAGUUGCUACGCAAGAGCACUCUAGCGAGACUGCCGUUGACAAAACGGAGGAAGGUGGGGACGACGUCAAAUCAUCAUGCCCCUUAUGUCCUGGGCCACACACGUACUACAAUGGUGGUUAACAGAGGGAGGCAAUACCGCGAGGUGGAGCAAAUCCCUAAAAGCCAUCCCAGUUCGGAUCGUAGGCUGCAACCCGCCUGCGUGAAGUUGGAAUCGCUAGUAAUCGCGGAUCAGCAUGCCGCGGUGAAUACGUUCCCGGGCCUUGUACUCACCGCCCGUC